AUUGAACGCUGGCGGCAGGCCUAACACAUGCAAGUCGAGCGGAUGAAGGGAGCUUGCUCCAGGAUUCAGCGGCGGACGGGUGAGUAAUGCCUAGGAAUCUGCCUGGUAGUGGGGGAUAACGUCCGGAAACGGGCGCUAAUACCGCAUACGUCCUGAGGGAGAAAGUGGGGGAUCUUCGGACCUCACGCUAUCAGAUGAGCCUAGGUCGGAUUAGCUAGUUGGUGGGGUAAAGGCCUACCAAGGCGACGAUCCGUAACUGGUCUGAGAGGAUGAUCAGUCACACUGGAACUGAGACACAGUCCAGACUCCUACGGGAGGCAGCAGUGGGGAAUAUUGGACAAUGGGCGAAAGCCUGAUCCAGCCAUGCCGCGUGUGUGAAGAAGGUCUUCGGAUUGUAAAGCACUUUAAGUUGGGAGGAAGGGCAGUAAGUUAAUACCUUGCUGUUUUGACGUUACCAACAGAAUAAGCACCGGCUAACUUCGUG
Molecule: ribosomal RNA, 484 nt
Filed under: uncultured bacterium
Lineage: Bacteria
Description: partial 16S ribosomal RNA
Rfam family: Bacterial small subunit ribosomal RNA
Source: RNAcentral